This 433-nucleotide ribosomal RNA is filed under the name uncultured bacterium. Its description in RNAcentral is "partial 16S ribosomal RNA". It matches the Rfam family "Bacterial small subunit ribosomal RNA", at positions 28 to 507 of the family's 1533-position model. The record is from RNAcentral.
GACGAACGCUGGCGGCGUGCCUAACACAUGCAAGUCGAACGAGACCUUCGGGCCUAGUGGCGCAAGGGUGCGUAACGCGUGGGAACCUGCCCUUAGGUUCGGAGUAACUCCCCGACAGGGGUGCUAUAAUCGCAUAAUGUCUUCGCGCCAAAGAGUUAUCGCCUUUGGUUGGGACAGGGUGGGAUUAGCGAGUUGGUAGGGUAAAAGGCUAACAAGGUGACGGUCCAUAGCUGGUCAGAGAGGAUGAGCAGCCACACUGGGACUGAGACACGGCGCAGACUCCUACGGGAUGCAGCAGUGGGGGAUAGUGGAAAGUGGGCGAGAGGCUGAUACAGCAAGGCCGCGUGAGGGAUGAAGGCCUGAUGGUUGGAAAGCUCGUUUACCCGCGAUGAGAAUGACGGUACCGGGAGAAGAAGCUCCGGCUAACUCCGUG